Carassius carassius (crucian carp) is the source of this 364-nucleotide long non-coding RNA. RefSeq lists it as uncharacterized. The record is from RefSeq and is a predicted model, not a curated record. The transcript has 3 exons. NCBI's taxonomy places the organism in Eukaryota, Metazoa, Chordata, Actinopteri, Cypriniformes, Cyprinidae.
UUUUUGUAGAUGUUAAAAGCCAGAGACAUGGGAGAGCAUCAUUCUUUUGAUAUUUUAUAACUCAAACCAACUUUGGAGUUGUCUUGUCUGAUUUGGAGAGUCAUCAUUCUUGUUCUUCCCUCUUAAAGGCCACUGAUGAAGAACAGGUGGUGACUGGAUUAAUGCUGGUCAAAGAAGGGAAUGUCCUUUCCCCUAAAUUGAUGCAGCAGUGGUUUUAAAGGAGGACGCUGCCCUGGAUGAUGUAGAUGUCGUCACAUACUGUGCUGAAGGGGCUUCUUCAUGACUACAUCAGUUUUGCUAAAGAGAUCAUGAAAAUUGACAGUGAUGCAUGAUCUGUGUUCAUGGACUAUGAAACAAACUGUAA